AUGAACGCUAGCGACAGGCUAACACAUGCAAGUCGAGGGGUAACAGGGUAGCAAUACCGCUGACGACCGGCGCACGGGUGAGUAACGCGUAUGCAACCUGCCUAUAACUGGGGAAUAGCUCCCUGAAAGGGGAAUUAACACCGCAUAACACUAUUGAUUCGCAUGGAUUGGUAGUUAAAUGUAGCGAUACAGGUUAUAGAUGGGCAUGCGUGACAUUAGCUAGUUGGUGAGGUAACGGCUCACCAAGGCUACGAUGUCUAGGGGUUCUGAGAGGAAGGUCCCCCACACUGGUACUGAGACACGGACCAGACUCCUACGGGAGGCAGCAGUGAGGAAUAUUGGUCAAUGGGCGCAAGCCUGAACCAGCCAUGUCGCGUGCAGGAAGACUGCUUCCUAUGGGUUGUAAACUGUCUUUUAUAGUAGAAGAAACACAUCUACGUGUAGAUGUCUGCCAGUAUACUAUGAAUAAGCAUCGGCUAACUCCGUGCCAGCAGCUGC
This 498-nucleotide ribosomal RNA is filed under the name uncultured bacterium. RNAcentral describes it as "bacterial SSU rRNA". It matches the Rfam family "Bacterial small subunit ribosomal RNA", at positions 29 to 518 of the family's 1533-position model. The record is from RNAcentral.